UACGUAGGGUGCAAGCGUUGUCCGGAAUUAUUGGGCGUAAAGAGCGCGUAGGCGGGCUGCCGCGUCCGGGGUGAAAUCCCACGGCUCAACCGUGGAACGGCCCCGGGUACGGGCGGCCUCGAGGGGGGUAGGGGCGUGCGGAACUGUGGGUGGAGCGGUGAAAUGCGUUGAUAUCCACAGGAACUCCGGUGGCGAAGGCGGCACGCUGGACCCCUUCUGACGCUGAGGCGCGAAAGCCAGGGGAGCGAACGGG
Molecule: ribosomal RNA, 253 nt
Filed under: uncultured bacterium
Lineage: Bacteria
Description: partial 16S ribosomal RNA
Rfam family: Bacterial small subunit ribosomal RNA
Source: RNAcentral